UACGUAGGGUGCGGGCGUUAAUCGGAAUUACUGGGCGUAAAGCGUGCGCAGGCGGCCUCUUAAGUCAGAUGUGAAAUCCCCGGGCUUAACCUGGGAACUGCGUUUGAAACUGGGAGGCUAGAGUGUGGAAGAGGGGGGUGGAAUUCCAGGUGUAGCAGUGAAAUGCGUAGAGAUCUGGAGGAACACCGAUGGCGAAGGCAGCCCCCUGGGCUAACACUGACGCUCAUGCACGAAAGCGUGGGGAGCAAACAGG
This 253-nucleotide ribosomal RNA is filed under the name uncultured bacterium. RNAcentral's name for it is "partial 16S ribosomal RNA". It matches the Rfam family "Bacterial small subunit ribosomal RNA", at positions 524 to 776 of the family's 1533-position model. The record is from RNAcentral.